This 483-nucleotide long non-coding RNA is filed under the name Pan troglodytes (chimpanzee). RNAcentral describes it as "lincRNA". The record is from RNAcentral. Lineage: Eukaryota; Metazoa; Chordata; Mammalia; Primates; Hominidae.
AGGAUUUUGCUACUUGAUAAUGUGUGUGGGGUCUAGAAGUCAAGGAAGACUCUCUAGGUUCAGGUCUGUUUUGGAAGAGGAUGGAGUAUUGAUCAAAACAGGAAGGUCAGAAAAGAACCCCUCUGGGAAGAGUUGGUGCUGAAGAUGAGAUGGAGUAAGAGAGGCAUGUUGGGCUGUCAGUUUCACUCAGGACCCAUGGCAGAAUAUUGCUACCAACGAACCAUUACAAAAACAAGAAGAAUUGAAACAUUUUGGAGGCCGGAAACACCACAUUGAUAUUUCUCUCCAGUGUGAAAUAUUUUAACCUGAAAAACUUCUAGAUGCAAUUUUCAGAUAAAAUAGGCCUAUUCUAAUUAAUCCAGGACAAGAAGAAUCUUUCAAGUGUUGCUAACCAGAACUGAGCAGAUCCAAGUAGCAAUCGUAGCCAAGCCAUUAGUCCAUGUAUGGAGAGACCAGAGAGGGCAUCCCCACGUGGUGAUGCCU